RNAcentral lists this ribosomal RNA (481 nucleotides) under uncultured beta proteobacterium. RNAcentral describes it as "bacterial SSU rRNA". It matches the Rfam family "Bacterial small subunit ribosomal RNA", at positions 402 to 874 of the family's 1533-position model. The record is from RNAcentral. Lineage: Bacteria; Pseudomonadati; Pseudomonadota; Betaproteobacteria.
UGAGUGAAGAAGGCCUUCGGGUUGUAAAGCUCUUUCGGACAGAAAGAAAUCGCACUGGUUAAUACCUUGUGUGGAUGACGGUACUGUAAGAAGAAGCACCGGCUAACUACGUGCCAGCAGCCGCGGUAAUACGUAGGGUGCGAGCGUUAAUCGGAAUUACUGGGCGUAAAGCGUGCGCAGGCGGUUUUGUAAGACAGACGUGAAAUCCCCGGGCUUAACCUGGGAACUGCGUUUGUGACUGCAAGGCUAGAGUACGGCAGAGGGGGGUAGAAUUCCACGUGUAGCAGUGAAAUGCGUAGAUAUGUGGAGGAAUACCGAUGGCGAAGGCAGCCCCCUGGGUCGAUACUGACGCUCAUGCACGAAAGCGUGGGGAGCAAACAGGAUUAGAUACCCUGGUAGUCCACGCCCUAAACGAUGUCAACUAGGUGUUGGGGGAGGAGACUUCCUUAGUACCGCAGCUAACGCGUGAAGUUGACCGCCU